This 398-nucleotide ribosomal RNA is filed under the name uncultured bacterium. RNAcentral describes it as "bacterial SSU rRNA". It matches the Rfam family "Bacterial small subunit ribosomal RNA", at positions 519 to 916 of the family's 1533-position model. The record is from RNAcentral.
GGUAAUACGUAGGGUGCAAGCGUUAAUCGGAAUUACUGGGCGUAAAGCGUGCGCAGGCGGUCUUGUAAGACAGAUGUGAAAUCCCCGGGCUCAACCUGGGAACUGCAUUUGUGACUGCAAGGCUGGAGUGCGGCAGAGGGGGAUGGAAUUCCGCGUGUAGCAGUGAAAUGCGUAGAUAUGCGGAGGAACACCGAUGGCGAAGGCAAUCCCCUGGGCCUGCACUGACGCUCAUGCACGAAAGCGUGGGGAGCAAACAGGAUUAGAUACCCUGGUAGUCCACGCCCUAAACGAUGUCAACUGGUUGUUGGGUCUUCACUGACUCAGUAACGAAGCUAACGCGUGAAGUUGACCGCCUGGGGAGUACGGCCGCAAGGUUGAAACUCAAAGAAUUUUGACGG